AUUGAACGCUGGCGGCAGGCUUAACACAUGCAAGUCGAACGAGUGGCGGACGGGUGAGUAAUGCCUGGGAAACUGCCUGAUGGGGGGGGAACACUACUUGAAACGGACGCCAAUACCGCCUUCCAUCCGAUUUGCCCAGAUGGGAAUAGCUAGUAGGUGGGGGAAUGGCUCACCAAGGCGACGAUCCCUAGCUGGGCUGAGAGGAUGAACAGCCACACUGGAACUGAGACACGGUCCAGACUCCUACGGGAGGCAGCAGUGGGGAAUAUUGCGCAAUGGGCGAAAGCCUGAUCGAGCAAUGCCGCGUGAGUGAAGAAGGCCUUCGGGUUGUAAAGCACUUUUGGCGAGGAGGCGUUAUUCGAAGAGGAAGCAACGGCUAACUCCGUGCCAGCAGCCGCGGUAAUUC
RNAcentral lists this ribosomal RNA (406 nucleotides) under uncultured bacterium. RNAcentral describes it as "partial 16S ribosomal RNA". It matches the Rfam family "Bacterial small subunit ribosomal RNA", at positions 30 to 526 of the family's 1533-position model. The record is from RNAcentral.